Callithrix jacchus (white-tufted-ear marmoset) is the source of this 26066-nucleotide non-coding RNA. The record is from RefSeq and is a predicted model, not a curated record. NCBI's taxonomy places the organism in Eukaryota, Metazoa, Chordata, Mammalia, Primates, Cebidae.
UGGCCUUCCGUUGGAGGCCUUCUGUUAGUGCCUUCAAAGUUGGUGUCAUUCCUUUGGGAGAGUCAGCAGGUGCUGAGCCCUAUAGACCUGGAAGCAAGCAAAGACCCAAGGUGCCCAGGAACAGCAGAGGCUCCCCAUAAAAACCACGCUGACCUGUCACAUGUGGACCAAAGCCAGCCCCAAGCAGGGCGGGUGCUGGGGUUCUGCAGAGCCGUCCUGCGGCUCUGACAUCUAUGAGUUGGCGGCCACCAAAAGCGCAGCCCCAGCAGAGAGGAGAUACAGGCGCCCUGAACGCGCUAUACCCCAAUGCCAGCCCCAGGCGGGGCCGGCUCAGGGUGAGGAGAGCUGAGCUGUUCUUCAGCUUCGAUUCAGAUCUACAAGAUGGAGAUGGCUCUAGUGCCUGACCCCGCUGCUUUGGAGCACCCUGGCCACCAGAAGAUGCCCAAAGGUGGCCGAAAACUAAGUUUACAAAAUACAGAAUGGAUGCUACAGAUUUCACUGCUGUAGAGAAAACGUCUGACACUUCUAGUAGCCACAGUGGAGCUGUUUCCCAAUGCCAGCCCCAAGCGGGGCCAGCUCAGCCUGAGGUGGGCGGAGCCGUCCUGCGAUUCUGAGAUCCAGGAGGUGGAGGUGGAGUUGGGAGCAACGCCAGACACCUCUGCUUGGAGCCUGCCCAAUCUGAUGCGGGGACCCUGACCUGCAGCACAGCGGCGACCAGAAGACGCCCAAAGGUAGGGAGGCCACAGAUACCGCUUGCUCUCAGGAGCUCCUCUGGCCAUUGCUGACCCAAGCUUCCCCGCAGAGGCAGGCACAGACUGGGGCUCCUCCCUCCUGCUCCUAGUUCGCUUUACUAGGCCCAGGCCCCGAGCAAGAGGCCUGGCUCUAGGACUCACAAUAUCAUAUGUUCAACUCUAGACCAGAACUCUAUACUAAAGUAAUGUCAGAGGUUUUCUUAUCGUUUCUAAUCACGAAAAAUGUUUUUUUCAUAGAGACAGGGUCUCGCUGUGUUGCCCAGGCUGUUCUCAAACUCCUGGUCUCAAGUGAUUAACCCACCUUGGCCUCCCACGUUGCUGGGCUGACAAGCAAGAACCACCACACCUGGGCUUUGGAGGGGCUCCUGCUCUGCGUGUUUCAGCUGGUCUUCCUGCGCAGUUGUCAGUAAGAUGCUCCUGCAGCAUCGUUUCAAAUCUUUCUGCAAAAAUCCAGUGGAUCCUGUGAUUUAUUAACAUAGAAUAGUCUAUUAUUUGUAGAAGAGAAGCUAAACAAUUCAGUUAGUAACCUAUGGCCUAGAAAUUUUUAUUUAGUGAUCAACACAACUGUUUAUAGAUGCUUGUGGUCCAAAAAUGCAGAUUCCUAAUCAUCCCCAAGGAGAAGUGAUCCACUGAAAGGCAACCUGGGAGGGAGUUUAGGAUUGUUCUGAGGCCGUGAAAACCAUUGAAAUUCACACGUAAGAGGGUAGAGAAAGGGAAUUCGCAUGUUUUGAUCCUACACGUGCUGGGUGUAACUUGGUCUUUCAGUUUACUCAUCUGUAAAAGGUGGGAUUGUUAUGAGGACUGCAUAAGGUAAGUGUGUAAAAAUCUGGGAAUGAUGUCUGUAAUUUAAAGACAAAGUUGUUCUGUGACUUCAAUAAGGUAAGUAAAAAUCUACACAAUGUCUUUAAUUUUGUGAUUGUUCAAUAUAUAAAGAAGGAUUAUUUUUCUUUAAUUUUUGGACAAGUAUAUAAAAUUAGUAUUAUAAAUAUUUUUGAGAUAAUCAAAGAAUCAGUAAGUUUAAAUAAAUCACCAUAGUCAGGAAGCAAUUCACAAUAUAUUUACUGGGUAAGUGCUAGUUAAAAGUAGAAAUGGGCCAGGUACAGUGGCUCAGGCCUGUAAUCCCAGCACUUUGGGAGGCCUAGGUGGGUGGAUCACCUGAGGCCCAGAGUUCAAGACAAUCCUGACCAACAUGGGGAAACCCUGUCUCUACUAAAAACCCAAAAUUAGCUAAGUAUGGUGUUGCAUGCCUGUAAUCUCAGCUCCUCGGGAGGCUGAGGCAGGAGAAUUGUUUGAACCCAGGAGGUGGAGGUUGCACUGAGUCGAGAUUGCACCAUUGCUUUCCAGCCUGGCCAAGAAGAGUGAAAUUUCAUCUAAAAAAAAAAAAAAGUAAUGAUGAUCACAAUGAAAAUCUUGCAUUAUAUGGUGGUUUUCUCUCACCUAAGCCUCCCAGUUUGUUGAAACUAUAGAUUCACAAUUGUUCUAUCAAAUUCUUCGUUAGAAAAACAUGUUGCACUUAGUAUGUAAAUUUUGAAAAAUUUUCUCAGUCUUAUUUUCUUAAAUAUGUGUAUUUAAAAUUAAGAAUGUAAUUGUGAAUAUGUAUUAACAUAUUUCAUAUAUCGUAUCAAUUAUAUAUAUCAUAUAAAUCAAAAGAUCACAGAGUAAUCUCAGUUCGUGGCACUGUUUUUUCUGAGAGCACCUGCAAAAUUGCAUUCUGUGUAGUUUCCAGAAAACUCAGAGGCCAUGGGGUAUGAGGGUCUUUGAAAGUCAGGUUGUACUUGAGGUACGUUAGGAUACAGAAAUUUCACCAGAAUUCAUGUUUAUAAUUCACAGUAAAGAAAGUUGCUACCAGCUACCAAUAAAUGAAAGGUGGGAUGAGGUAGUUGGAGGGGCGGGGCUUUGUGAGCCAGUGCCCAGACUCCCACCUCACAAAUGACAGGCCGACGCCUAGAGGGAACUCAGGUCCUGAUUGGUUCCUCCUAAGCAGAACGCGACGUGGUUGGCAGGGCAACCGGCCUUCAUUAGGUGGCUUUCAUGUAGGGCCUUCUGUGGGUGCCUUAAGUUGGUGCCAUUUGGUUGCCUUUCCUGGGGAGAGGCCGAAGGUGCUCAGCUCUGCAGACAUGGGGACAAGCAGAGGCCCAAGCUGCCCCAGAAGAGCAGAGGGGCUCCAUGGGGACCAUGCUGCCCUGUGGCAAGUGCACCCAAGCCAGCCCCAGGCAGGGCCGGCACAGGGGUUCUGUGGAGCUGUUCUGCAACUUUGAUAUCAAUGAGCCGGCGGCCAGCAAAGGUACAGGUCGCAGCAGAGAGGAGCAGAAGCUCCUGAAACAUGCUGUCCCCCAAUGCCAGCCCCAAGCAGGGCCAGAUAGGGUGCAGUGGGCAAAGUCAUCCUGCACUGUGGGAUCCAUGAGCCACAGGUGGGAGCAGCUCCAGACACCCAUGCUUGGAGCCUGCCAAAUCUGAUUCCGGAGUCCUGACCUGCAGCACGCUGGUGACGCGACCAGAAGACGCCCAAAGGUAGGGGGGCCACAGAUACCUUUGGCUGUUGCUGACCCGAGGUACCCCCAGAGGCAUCCACAGCCCGGGGCUCUUCCCUCCUGCCCCUAUUUGGCUUUCCUAGGCCCAGGCCCUAGGCAGGAGAACUGGCUCUGCCUGGACUGCCCACCCCUUUGUAUUUCCCUGUUGCAUCCAGACGGUUUCUUUUCUCCUCGCUUCCAAAAUGCUCACUUCUAGGCCCUCUUCUUCUUCUCCUUGGCUGGUCAGAAACUAAGUUUUCAAAAUACAAAAUGGAUGCUACAGAUUUCAGUGCUGUAGAGGAAAUGUCUGAAAGCUCUUCUAUUUCAACCUAAGUAGCCAUAUGGGGACUCACAAUUUUACAUCUCAAGUUCUAUACCAAAUUUCUCUAUUCCAAAGCAAUGGCAGAGGAUUAUAGGUACUCUGCCUGAUUCGAAUAAUAAAAAAUAAUCAUUUUUUUGUAGAGACAGGGUCUCACUCUGUUGCCCAGGCUGGUCUCAAACACCUGGCCUCUAGUGAUUCACCCUCUUUGGCCUCCCACAUUGCUGGGAUGACAGGCAAGAACUACCGCACCUGGCCGCUGGAGGCGCUCUUGCUUUGUGUGCCUCUGCAGGUCUUCCUGCACAGCUGUCAGUUACAUGGUCCUACAGCAUAGUUCCAUCCUUUCUGUCCAAGUUCAGUGGAUACUGUGAUUUUUUACAUGGAAUAGGCUUUUAUUUAUUGCAAAGAAGCUAGACAAUUCAAAGUAAGUAACCUAUGGCCUAACAAAUUUCAUUUCUUGAUCAGCACAGCUUUUAAAAUGUGUUGCUUUUGGUCUAAAUAUGCAGAUUCCUAAUCAUCCCCUAAGAAACAGGGAACCACUGCAAGGCAAACUGGGAGGAUGUUUAGGAUUGUUCUGAGGCGUGAAAGCCACUGAAAUUCACACAUGAGGGUGUAGAAAAGGGAAUCCGUCUGUUUGAUCCCUCUGUGUUCUGGGUAUAACUUGGUCCUCAUUAAAUUGCACCAUUCUUGGCAUCAGAGAAAACUGGAGAUGAAUCCCAGUUCCAUUCCUCAUUAUGAGGUCAUAAUGAAUGUGUUUCUAACUCAUUUAAGAAUCAUGGCAAAGUGCUUGUAAUUCAAAAGAGAGGGUCAUUAUGAGGCUGCUAUAAGGUAAGUGUGGACGCAAUGCCUAUAAUUUUGUAAGUGUUCAACAUAUGGAGAAGAAGGAUUAUUUCUGUCUCAUUUAAUUUUUAGAGCAAGUUUAUAAAAUUGAUGAUACUCACAUUUUUGAAAUAAUCAAACCAAGGACCAGAAAGACCAAACAAAUCACCACAGUCACAAAGCAAUUCACAAUACAUUUACUGCAUAGAUUUUACUUUAAAGUACCAAUGAUAAUCACAUUGAAAAUCUUGUAUUUUGUGGUGGUGUUCUCUUACAUAAACAUUUCAGAUUGUUGAAACUAUAAAUUCUAACUUGCUCUAUCAAAGUGAUCAUUAGAAAAUGUGAUGUACUUGGUGUGUACAGUUUAGAAAAUUUCUAUGUUUAGUCUUCUGAAUUUGACUGCAUAUGUAUAUUAUUUUAAAAGCAGUAAAACAAAUAUAUGUGGAUUGAAUGUAUAUAUAUGUAUAUAUAAAAUAUGACUUGACAUUAUAGAGUAGGCAUAGCUCAUGGAAAGCCGUUUUUCUGAAAGCACCUGCAGAAAUCUGGUUUUUUUCAUUUCUAAAAAUCUCAGAGCUUAUAGGGGAAAGGGGGUUCUAGGAAUCCCAGAUAGUGCAUGAGGCAGAUUUGGUUUCAGUAAUUUUAACAUUAUUCACGGUAAGAUGAUGAUCGCUAGGAACAUCAUCACAGUGGGAAACCUGAAAUCUCCUAGCAGCCAGCAAUGAAUAAAGGUGGGGCGGGGCUGCUGGCAGGGUGGGACCAAUGGCAGGGUGGGGCUUUGGAGCCAUGUGCCUGUGCUCUCAUGUUCCAAGUUUAGGGGGAGGCGUGCAGGGGACUCUGGUUGUGAUUGUUUCCUCUUAACCAGGAUGCAGUCUGAAUGGCAGGGCAACUGGCCUUUACCUGGCGACCUUCACUGGGUGCCCUCAUUGGUUGCCUUGGCUUGGCACCCUCAGUUGGUGGCCUUGAGUUGUUGGGCAGCAGCGGAAGGAGCUCCAUCGAUGUUCUCUCCUCCCACAGUCACAGCUCUCAGGCUUGACUGGAUGUUGCAUCCAGGCCCAUUCUGAAUAAACCAGGCAGGGUGAUGGCUGUUGCAGUAGGUCAGCUCAGGGUGACCAGGUGAGGCAGGGUGGGGCUGUUAGUAGUGUGCAGCUCCAUGGCCUGGGUGCUGCCUGUGCCACCCAUGCCUAUGCGGGGAAGAGGUGACAGGUGCUAAGCUCUGCAGACAUGGGGGCCAGUGAAUGCCCAAGCUGCCUGAGAUGUGCUGAGCUGCCCCUUGUGGAUCACACUGACCACAUGCACCAAAGACAGCCCAAGGCAUGGCCAGGCAGGGAUUCUGUGGAGCCAUUCUGGGCUCUGACAUCUAUGAGUGGGUGCCCAACCAUGGCACAGUCCCAGCAGAAAGGAGCAGAGGUGUGUAGAACAACCUGUCCCCCAGUUCCAGCCUGAAAUGGGGCAAGCUCAGGGUGCAGUGGGAAGAGACGUCCUGACACUCUGAGAUCUACCACACCGAGGUGGCAGUACGCCAGACCUCGCUGCUGUGGAGCCUGCACAGUUGAAUUUCGGAGCCGGAGAGGGUCCUGACUUGCAGCACAUUGGCGACCAGAAGACAUCCAAAGGUAGGGAGGUGACAGACACUGCUUGGCCUCAGGAGCUUAUCUGGCCAUUGUUCACCCAAGGUUGCACCUGGAGGCAUCCACAGCAUGGGGCUCCUCCCUCCUUCCCCUAGUUAGCUUUCUUAGGCUCAGGCCACACAAAAAAGGACUGGGUCUGCCUUGCCUUCCCAGCUUAUCUUAGUUCCCUGCUGGGACCAUCCAGUUUUCUUCCUCCUUCCUACCCCAGUACUGAGUUCUGGGACCUCUUCUGCUUCCCCCAGGCUGGCCAGAAACUAAGUUUCUAAACUACAAAAUGAAUGCUCCAGAUUUCAUUGCUGUAGAGGAAAUGUCUAACAUUUCUUCUAUUUAAACUCAAAUACCCCUAUUGGGACUCAGAAUUUCAUAUGUUGAUUUCUAUACUAGAGCUCUGUAUUUUCAAGCAAGGUCAGAGGGUCAGAGGUAUGUCCUCUUGAUUCUAAUCAUUUAAAAAAAAUUUUUUUUGGUAGAGGCAGGGUCUCACUGUGUUCCCCAGGCUGGUCUCUAACUCCUGGUGUCAAGUGAUUCACCCACUUUGGCUUCCAACAUUGCUGGGCUGACAGGCAAGAACCAGCACACCUGGACUUUGGAGGUGCUCUUGCUUUGCAGGUUUCCACUGCUCCUCCUACCCAGCUGUCAGUGAGAUGCUCCUGAGGCAUCAUUCCAAAGUUUUCUAGACAAAUUCAGUGAAUCCUGUGAUAUUUUACAUGUAAUAAUACCUUUGCUUAUUGCAGAUAAGCUAGAAAAAUUACAGUUAGUAACCUAGGCCCUAGAAAUGUUCACAUCUAUUUUUUUUGUUUUUGAGAUAAAAUUUUGCUCUUGUUGCCCAGGCUGGAGUGCAAUGACAGCAUCUUAGGUCAUUGUAACCUCUGCCUCCUGGGUUCAAGUGUUUCUCCUGCCUUAGCCUUCUGAGUAGCUGGGAUUAGAGGCAUUCAGCACACACUCAGCUAAUUUUGUCCUUUUUAGUAGAGAUGGAGUUGCACCAUGUUGGUCAGGCUUCUCUCAAACUCCUGACCUCAGGACAUCUGCCCGCCCUGGCUUCCCAAAAUACAGACCAGAGCCACCAUCCCUGGCCAGAAGUUUCAUUUCUCAAUCAACAAACCUCUUUCUAAGGAGAUGCUUGUAGUCUAAAUAUGCAGAUUUCUAGUCAUUUCUAAAAGGUAGGGAACCACGGCAAGGCAACCUGGGAGGGAGUUUAGGUUAAUUCUGAGGUUGGGAAAGCCAUUCAGAUUCACACAUAAGAGGGUAGAGAAAGGGCUUCCACAUGUUUUGACUGCCUCCAUGUGCUCAGUGUAACUUGGUCUUGGUUAUUACGUUGCACUGCCUUUGGCAUCAGAGAGAACUGGAUUUGAAUCCCAGUUCCAUCACUCAUUAGGACGUGAUGAUGAAUGUGUUUUUGACUCCUCUGAACCUCAGUUUGCUCAUCCAUAAAAAAAUGGUAUUAUGAGCCUUCCAUAUUAUUAGAGUGUAAAAAUUGGUGUGGACAAAAUGCCUGUAAUUUAAAGGAUAGGGUUUUUAAAGGCUUCAAUAAGGUAAGUGUGUAAAAAUCUGGACACAAUGCCUGUAAUUUUGUAAGUCUUCAUUCUAUAGAGAAGGAGGAUAAUUUUUUUUUAAUUUUUAGAGCAAGUUUAUAAAAACUGGUGUUACUUAUAUUUUUGAGAUAAUCAAACCAAGGAUCUGAAAGAUUAAAUGAGUCACAAUAGUUACAGUGCGGUUCACAAUACAUUUAUUGGGUCAUUGAAAAUAGCAAUGCUGAUCACAUAUCAAAUCUUGUAUUAAGAGAAUGCUUUUCUCUUACAAAAGGCUCUUGUUUGUUGAAGCCAUCGAUUCUAAGUUGCUGUCUAAAGUGAUCAUUAGGAAACUGUGAUAAACUUAGUGUAUAAAUUUAGAAAAUGUGCUUUAUUGUUCUUGUUAAUUUGAUUGAAUAUGUAGGUAAAUUUCAAAAAUGUAUAUGGAAUAUGUAUGAAUUGAAUGCAUAUGUAUAUAUAUGAAAAAGAUAAUUAGACAUCACACAGUAGACUUAGCUCAUGGCAAUUUUUUUUCUGAAAGCAGGUAUAGAAAUCUGUCAUUUUUGUAGUUUGUAAAAAACUCAGAGGUUAUAGAGGAAAGGAGGUUCUAUAAAUUCCACCUAGUGCAAGAGCCAGAUUUGUCUUCAGGAAUUUUAGAAUAAUUCAUUGUAAGGUAAUAAUCCCUAGGAACUUCAACACAGUGAAAAACCUGAAAGCUCUUAGCAGCCAGGAAUGAAUGAAAAGUGGGAUGCGGUGGCUGGCAGGGUGAGGCCUUGUGAGCCACGUGCCUGGUCUCUCAAGUUCCAAGUUGGCAAGGACACGUGGAGGGGACUCUGGGCCUGAUUGUUUCCUCUUAACCAGGAUACAGACUGGUUGUCGGGGCAACCCGCCCUCACCUGGUGGCCUUCAGAGGGUGCCUUCAUUGGUUACCUUUGCUUAGUGCCCUCAGUUGGUGGCCUCAGUUGGUGCUCUUUCGUUGUUGGUCUUCAGUUGGUUUGGUAGCAGUGGAAGGAGAAGGAGCUCCGUCUGUGCUCUCUCCUCCUAAAGUCACAGUUCUCAGGCUUGUUGCACCUACCCACACUAUAAAUAAACCGGGCAGGUUCACGACUUUUACAGACAAGUCAACUCAAGGUAGGUGGGUGAGGUAAGAUGUGAACUGCUAGUGGGAUGCAGCCCUAUGGCCAGGGUUGCCUGUGCCAGUGUGACUUUGCUGGGAAGAGGCAGCAUGUUCUGACUUCUGCAGACAUAGAAGCGAGUGAAGGCCCAAGCUGCCUGAGAACAGAGUUGCCCCAAGGGGACCACCCUGUAGUAUCUCAUAUGCGCCAAAGGCAGCACCAGGCAGGGCCAAAGCAGGGGUUCUGUGAAGCCAUCCUGGGACUCUGACAUCUAUGAGUGAGUGGCCAGAAAAGUCAGAGACACCAGAAAAGAGGAGCAGAGGCACCCAGAACAUGCUGUCCCACAAUGCCAGACCCAGGCAGGGCCAGUUCACAGUGUGGUGAGAUAAACCAUCCUGAUACUCCAAGAUCUAGGAGGUGGAGGUGGGGGUGUCUCCUGACCCGACUGCUUUGGGGCCUGCCCAGUUGGGUUUGGGAGCUGGCCAGGGUCCUGACUUGCAGCACGUUGGCAACCAGAAGAUGACCAAAGGUAGGGAGGCAAGAAAUACUGCUUGGCUCAUCUAUAUGUUAUGUUAUGCUCAUCUAUAAAAAGUUGUAUACAGUGGGAGCUCCUCAGGCCAUUGCUGACUCAAGGUUCCCCCAAAAGACAUCCACAGCCUGGAGCUCUCCCUCCUGUCCCUCAUUACCUUUGGCAGCCCCAGGCCCCAAGCAGGAGGACUGGCUCUGCCUCGAAUCCCCACCCAUUCUUCUUUCUUCCUAUCCCAAUGCCCAUUUCAGUUUCCUCUUCACCUUGUCACAGGCUACCUCAAUACUAGUUGUCAAAAUUUAAAAUGUAAGCUACAAAUUUCUUUGGAUAGAGAAAAUGUCUGACAGCUUUUCUGGUUAAACUUAAGUAGCAAUGGUGAGACUUACAAUUUCAUAUCUUAAAUUCUACACCAUGACCCUUUAUCAUAAAGUGAUGCUAGAGGCACUAUUCUGGAUUCUCAUCUUAUAAAAUGAUUUUCUGUGGAGACAGGGUCUCACUGUGUUACCCAGGCUAGUCCCAAACUCCUGGCCUCAAGUGACCUGCCCACCUUGGUCUCCCACAUUGCUAGGGUGACAGGCAGGAGCCACCACACCUGGCCUUUGGAGGUGCUCUUGUUUUGUGUGUAUAGUCUGGUCUUCCUGCACAGCUGUCAGGAAGAUGCUCCCACAGCAUGGUUCUAAAUCUCUCUGCAAACUCAGUGGAUCCUGUGACUUUUUUACAUGGAGUAGCCCUGUGUUUUAUAGAAAAGCUAGACAAAUCAUGGUUAAUAACCUAGGGCCUAGAAAAUUUUAUUUCAUGAUCAACACAUCUUUUGGCCUAGAAAAUGUCUUUUCUUAAUCAAAGCACCUGUUUAUAAGGAGCUAAAUAUGCAGCUUAGUAAUCAUCCCCGAGAAAAAGGGAACCACUGCAAGGCAACCUGGGAGGGAGUUUAGGAUUGUUCUGAGGCCAUAAAAAACAAGGGAAUUUACACAAAAAUGGGUAGAGAAAGGGAACCCACGUGCUGUGACCCCUCCAUCUGCUGGGCACAAUUCAUCUUUGUUAUAUUGCACAACCUUUGGUGUCAGGAAGAAUGAAAUUGGAAUCCCAACUCAGUCACUCAUUAUGACAUGGUAGGAAUGUGUUUCUAACGCCAGCGAGCCUCAGUUUGCUCAUCUAUAACGGACGGGAGUGUUAUCUGACUUCCAUAAGUUAUGUGUAUAAAACUCUGGCCACAAUGCCUGUAAUUUAAAACAUGAGGUGGUUCUGGGGCUUCCAUAAGGUAAGUGUGUAAAAUCUGGGCAUAAUGACUGUAAUUUAGAACUUGGGGUUGUUAUGUGGCCUCCGUAAGGUAAGUGUGCGAAAAUCUGGACACGACGUCUAUAAAUUGGUAAGUGUUCAAUAUAUGCAGAAGGAGAAUUAUUUUUCCCUCAUCUAAUUUUUAGAGUAAGUUUAUAAAUUGUUGUUAUAUUUUGCAGUUAACCGAACUAAGAAUCAGAGAGAUUGAAUAAGUCACCAUAGUCACAAAGCAGUUCACAAUACAUACUGGGUAAUUGUUAUUUAUUACAGCAAGGAGGAUCAUGUUUAAAAUACUGUAUUAUGUGGUGGCUUCUCUUACAUAAGCCUCUUUCUUAUGGAAGAAACCAUGAAUUUUAAGUUGUUCCAUGAAAGUGAGCAAUAGAAAAUUGUGAUAAAGCUUAGUGUAUACAUUUUAGAAAAUUUCCUCUAUUAGUCUUAAUUUGCUUGAAUGUGUGUGUUAUUUUCAAAAAAUGUAAAUUGAACAUAUACCUAUUGAAUACAUUUGUGUAUAUGUAUAUGCUUAAAACUUUACAUUAGAGGGUAGCCAUAAGUCAUGGCAAUGUUUUUUUCUGAAAGCACAUGCAGAAAUCUGUCAUUUCUCUAGUUUCUAUGAAGCUUAGAGGUUAUGGGGGAAAGGGGGUUCUAUGAAUCCAAGACACUGCAUGAGGCACAUUUGAUUUCAGUAAUUGUAGCAUGAUUCGUUAUAAGGUGAUGAUCCCUAGGAACCUCAGCACAGUGAGAAACCUGAAAGCACCCAGCAGCCAGCAAUGAAUGAACGCUGGGGCAGGACCAAUGGCAGGGUGUGGCCUUGGAGCCAUGUGCCUGUGCUUUCAAGUUCCGAGUUUAGGGAGAGGCAUGCAGGGGACUCUGGGCCUGAUUGUUUCCUCUAAACCAGAAUGCAGUCUGGAUGGCAGGGCAACUGGCUUUCACCCAGUGACCUUCACUGGGUGCCCUCAUUGGUUGCCUUGGCUUGGCACCCUCAGCUGGUGGUCUUCAGUUGGUGGCCUUGAGUUGUUGGGCAGCCACAGAAGGAGCUCCAUCAAUGUUCUUUCCUCCCACAGUCACAGCUCUCAGGCUUGUUGCAUCCAGGCCCAUUCUGAUUAACCAGGCAGGGUGGUGGCUGUUGCAGAUAAGUGGGCUCAGGGUGAGCCGGUGAGGCAGGGUGGGGGCUGCUAGUUAUAUGCAGGUCCAUGGCAUGGUGCUACCUAUGCCAGAUAUGCCUAUGCUGGGAAGAGGUGGCAGGUGCUGAGCUCUGCAGACAUGGGGGCUAGUGAAGGCCCAAGCUGCCUGAGAUGUGCUGAGCUGUCCCUUGUGGAUCAUGCUGACCACACGCCCCAAAGACAGCCCAAGGAGGCUUUGCUGGUGCAGGGGUUCAUUGGAGCCAAUCUGGGCUCUGACAUCUGAGUUGGUUGCUAACAAAGAGCCAAGCCCCAGCAGAGAGGAGCAGAGGUGCCCAGAACACACUGUACCCCAAUGCCAGCCCCAAGUGGGGCAAGCUCAGGGUGCAGUGGGAAGAGACGUCCUGACACUCUGAGAUCUACCACACCGAGGUGGCAGUACGCCAGACCUCGCUGCUGUGGAGCCUGCACAGUUGAAUUUCGGAGCCGGAGAGGGUCCUGACUUGCAGCACAUUGGCGACCAGAAGACAUCCAAAGGUAGGGAGGCGACGAACACUGCUUGGCCUCAGGAGCUUCUCUGGCCAUUGGUGACCCAAGGUUACGCCUGGAGGCAUCCAUAGCAUGGGGCUCCUCCCUCCUUCCCCUAGUUAGCUUUCUUAGGCUCAGGCCACAAGCAAAAGGACUGGGUCUGCCUUGCCUUCCCAGCUUAUCUUGGUUCCCUGCUGGGUCCAUCCAGUUUCCUUCUUCCUUCCUACCCCAAUGCUGAGUUCUGGGACCUCUUAUGCUUCCCCCAUGCUGGCCAAAAACUAAGUUUCUAAACUACAAAAUGAAUGCUACAUAUUUUAUUGCUGGAGAGGAAAUGUCUAACAUUUCUUCUCUUUAAACUUAACUAGCCCUAUUGGGAGUCACAAUUGCAUAUCUUGAUUUCUGGACUACAGCUCCGUAUUUUCAAGCAAGGUCAGAGGGUCAGAGGUAUGUCCUCUUGAUUCUAAUCAUUAAAAAAUUGUUUGUAGAGGCAGGGUCUCACUGUGUUCCCCAGGCUGGUCUCAAACUCCUGGUGUCAAGUGAUCCACCCACCUUGGCUUCCCACAUUGCUGAGCAGAUAGGAAAGAACCAGCACACCUGGACUUGGGAGGUGCUCUUCCUUUGCGUGUUUCCACUGCUCCUCCUACCCAGCUAUCAGUAAGAUGCUCCUACAGCAUCAUUCCAAAUCUUUCUGGAAAAAUUUAGUGGAUCCUGUGACAUUUUACAUGUAAUGUUACCUUUGCUUAUUGCAGAUAAACUGGACAAUUUACAGUUAGUAACCUAAGUCCUAUAAAUUUUUGUAUCUUUCUUGAGAUAAAAUUUUGCUCUUAUUGCCCAGUCUGGUGUGUAGUAACAUGAUCUUAUAUUGUUGCAUCUUCUGCCUCCUGGGUUCAAGCAAUUCUCCUACCUUAGCCUUCUGAGUAGCUGAAAUUAGAGGCAUUUGCCAGACUCUCGGCUAAUUUUGUGCUUUUUAGUAGAGAUGGAGUUUUACCGUGUUGGUCAGGCUUGUCUCAUACUCCUGACCUCAGGACAUCUGCCCACCCUGGCUUCCCAAAGUACAGGUGAGAGCCACCAUCCCUGGCAAAACGUUUUAUAUCUCCAUUAGCAAUCCUGUUUCUAAGCAGAUGCUUGUAGUCUAAAUAUGCAGAAUCCUAGUCAUUUCCAAGAGAAAAGGAACCACUGCAAGGCAACCUAGGAGGGAGUUUAGGAUGGUUCUGAGGCCAUGAAAGCCAUUCAAAUUCACACAUAAGAGGGUAGAGAAAGGGAAUCCACAUGUUCCGACUGCCUCCAUGUCCUGAGUAUAACUUGGUCAUUGUUAAGUUGCAGUACCUAUGGCGUCAGGGAGAACUGGAUUUGAAUCCCAGUUCAUCACUCAUUAGCACGUGAUGCUGACUGUGUUUUUAACUCCUCUGACUUUCAUUGUAGUCAUCUAUAAAAGAUGGGAUUAUUUUGAGGCUUCCAUAAUAUAAGUGUGUAAAAAUUGGUGUGAGCAAAAUGACUGUAAUUUAAAGGAUAGGGUUGUUUUAAGGCUUCAAUAAGGCAAGUGUGUAAAAAUCUGGACACAAUGCCUAUAAUUUUGUAAGUCUUAAUUAUAUACAGAAGGAGGAUUAUUUUUCUCUCAUUUCAUUUUUAGAGCAAGUUUAUAAGACUGGUGUUGCUCAUAUUUUUGACAUAAUCAAACCAAGGAUCCAAAAGAUUCAAUGAGUCACUAUAGUCACAGAGCAGUUCACAAUACAUCUACUGGGCAACUGCCUGUGGAAAGUAGCAAUGGUGAUCACAGUUAAAAUCUUGUAUUAACAGAAUGCUUUUCUCUUACAUAAGCCUCUUUGUUUUUGAAGCCAUAGAUUCUAAGUUGAUGUAUCAAAGUGAUCAUUGGGAAACUGAUAUAUUAGUGUAUAAAUUCUAGAAAAUGUCCUCUAUUACUCUUAUUAAUUUGAUUGAAUAUGUGUGUUAUUUUUAAAAUUGUAAAUGGAAUAUAUAUGGAUUGAAUGAAUGUGUAUAUAUGUGAAAUAUAAUUAGACAUCACACAAUAGACUUAGCUCAUGGCAAUUUUUUUUUCUAAAAGCACCUGCAGAAAUCUGUCAUUUUUAUAGUUUGUAAAAAACACUGAGAUUAUGUGGGAAAGGAGGUUCUAUGAAUUCCAGCUAGUGCAAGAGCCAGAUUUGGCUUCAGGAAUUUUAGCAUAAUUCAUUGUAAGGUGAUAAUCACUAGGAAGUUCAAAACAGUGAGAAACCUGAAAGCUCUUAGCAGCCAGGAAUGAAUGAAAGGUGGGAUACAGUGGCUGGCAGGGCAGGGCUCGGCCUUCUGAGCCACAUGCCUGGUAUCUCAAGUUCCAAGUUGGCAGGGACACAUGGAGGGGACUCUGGGCCUGAUUGUUUCAUCUUAACCAGGAUGCGGUCUGGUUGGCAGGGCAACUCGCCUUCACCUGGUGGCCUUCAGAGGGUGCCUUCAUUGGUUGUCUUUGUUCAGUGCCCUCAGUUGGUGCUCUUCAUGGUCUUCAGUUGGUUUGGUAGUGGUGGAAGGAGAAGGAGCUCCAUCUGUGCUCUCUCCUCCUAAAGUCACAGUUCUCAGGCUUGUUGCACCUACCCACACUAUAAAUAAACCAGGCAGGUUCACAACUUUUACAGACAAGUCAACUCAAGGUAGGUGGGUGAGGUAAGGUGCGAGAUGCUAGUGGAAUGCAGCACUAUGGCCAGAGUUGCAGCACAUUGGCGACAAGAAGACAACAAAAGGUAGGGAGGCAACGAAUACUGCUUGGCUCAUCUGUAUGUUAUGUUAUGCUCAUCUAUAAAAGAUUGGAUACAGCAGGAACUCCUCAGGCCACUGCUAACUCAAGGUUCCCCCCAAAGACAUCCACAGCCUGGGGCUCUUCCUCCUGACCCUAGUUAGCUUUCCCAGCCCCAGGCCCCAAGCAGGAGGACUGGCUCUGCCUCGAGUCCCCCCCCAUUCUUCUUUCUUCCUAUCCCAAUGCCCAGUUCAGUUUCCUCUUCAUCUUGCCUGAAUGCUAAGUUUUCAAAAUUUAAAAUGUAAGCUACAAAUGUCAUUGCUAUAGAGAAAAUGUCUGACAGCUUUUCUAGUUAAACUUGAGUAGCAACUGUGAGACUUACAAUUUCAUAUCUUGAAUUCCAGACCAUGCCCCUAUAUCAUAAAGCAAUGUUAGAGGCACUCAUCUUGAUUCUAAUCAUAUAAAAAAAAAUUUUGUAGAGACAGAUUCUCACUGUGUUACCCAGGCUAGUCUCGAACUCCUGGCCUCAAGUGAUCCAUCCACCUUGGCCUCCCACAUUGCUACGGUGACAGGCAAGAACCACCACCCCUGGCCCUUGGAGGUGCUCUUGCUUUGUGUGUAUAGUCUGGUCUUCCUGCACAGCUGUCAGGAAUAUGCUUCUGCAGCAUAGUUCUAAAUCUUUCUGCAAAUUCAGUGGAUCCUGUGAUGUUUUUUACAUGGAAUAGCCCUGUGUUUUAUAGAAAGGCUAGACACUUCACAGUUAGUAACCUAGGGCCUAGAAAAUUUUAUUUCAUGAUCAACACAUCUCUUGGCCUAGAAAAUGUCUUUUCUUAAUCAAAGCACCUGUUUAUAAGGAGCUAAAUAUGUGGUCUAAAUAUGCAGCUUAGUGAUCAUCCCCAGGAAGAAGGGGACCACUGCAAGGCAACCUGGGAGGGAGUUUAGGAUUGUUCUGAGGCCAUAAAAAACCAUGAAACUCACAAAAAAAAAAAUGGGGGUAGAGAAAGGGAAUCCACAUGUUUUCACUCCUCCAUCUGCUGGGCACAAUUAAUCUUUGUUAUGUUGCACAACUUUGGUGUCAGAAGGAAUCGGAUUUGAAUCCCAAUUUCAUCACUCAUUAUGACAUGGUAGGAAAUGUGUUUCUAACUCCAGUGAGCCUCAGUUUGCUCAUUUAUAAAGGAUGGGAGUGUUAUAUACCUUCCAUAAGGUAUGUGUGUAAAAAUCUGGCCAUAAUGCCUGUAAUUUAAAACAUGAGGUUGUUCUGGGGCUUCCAUAAGGUAAGUGUGUAAAAUCUGGGCAUAAUAAAUGUAAUUUAAAACAUGCAGUUGUUAUGUGGCCUUUGUAAGGCAAAUACAUAAAAAUCUGGAUACGAUGUCUAUAAAUUUGUAAGUGUUCAAUAUAUGCAGAAGGAGAAUUAUUUUUCUCUCAUCUAAUUUUUAGAGCAAGUUUAUAAAAUUGUUGUUGUAUUUUGAGGUUAAUCAAACUAAGAAUCAGAGAGAUUAAAUAUGUCACCAUAGUCACAAAGCAGUUCACAAUACAUACUGGGUAAUUGUUAUUUAUUACAGCAAUGAGGAUCACAUUUAAAAUACUGUAUUAUGUGGUGGUUUUCUCUUCCAUAAGCCUGUUUCCUUGUUGAAACCAUGAAGUUUAAGUUGCUCUAUGAAAGUGAUCAAUAGAAAAUUGUGAUGAAGCUUAGUGUAUAAAUUUUAGAAAAUUUCUUCUACUAUUCUUGUUAAUUUGCUUGAAUGUGUGUGUCAUUUUCAAAAAACAGAAGUUGAACAUAUAUGUAUUGAAUACAUUUGUGCAUAUGUAUGUGUUUAAAACUUUACAUUAUAGGGUAGGCUUAAGUCAUAGCAAAGUUUUUUUUCUGAAAGCACAUGCAGAAAUCUAUCAUUUUUCUAGUUUCUAUGAAGCUCAGAGGUUAUGGGGGAAAGGGGGUUCUAUGAAUCCAAGACACUGCAUGAGGCAGAUUUGGUUUCAGUAAUUGUAGCAUCAUUCAUUAUAAGGUGAUGAUCCCUAGGAACCUCAGCACAGUGAGACACCCGAAACCUCCCAGUAGCCAGCAAUGAAUGAAAGGUGGGGUGGAGCCUAUGGCAGGGCAGGGCCUUAGAGCCAUGUGCCUGUGCUCUCAAGUUCCAAGUGUAGGGGGAGGUAUGCAGCGGACUCUGGGCCUGAUUGUUUCCUCUUAACCAGGAUGCAGUCUGGAUAGCAGGGCAACUGGCCUUCACCUGGUGGCCUUCACUGGGUACCCUCAUUGGUUGCCUUGGCUUGGCACCCUCAGCUGCUGGUCUUCAAUUGGUGGCCUUGAGUUGUUGGGCAGCAGCAGAAGGAGCUCCACCGAUGUUCUUUCCUCCCACAGUCACAGCACUCAGGCUUGUCGCAUCCAGGCCCAUUCUGAAUAAACCAGGCAGGGUGGUGGCUGUUGCAGAUUAGUCGGUUCAGGGUGAGCAGGUGAGAUGGGGGGGGGCUGCUAGUGACAUGCAGCUCCAUGGCCUGGUGCUACCUGUGCCAGCCAUGCCUAUGCUGGGAAGAGGUGGCAGGUGCUGAGGUCUGCAGACGUGGGGGCCAGUGAAAGCCCAAGCUGCUUGAGAUGCGCUGAGAUGCCCUUUGUGGAUCACACUGACCACAUGCACCAAAGACAGCCCGAGGCAUGGCCAUGCAGGGAUUCUGUGGAGCCAUUCUGGCCUCUGAUAUCUAUUAGUGGGUACCCAACAAAGGCACAGUCCCAGCAGAGAGGAGCAGAGGUGCCCAGAACAACCUGUACCCCAGUUCCAGCCCCAAAUGGGGGCAAACUCAGGGUGUCGUAGGAAGAGACGUCCUGACACUCUGAGAUCUACCACGUGGAGGUGGCAGUAUGCCAGACCUCACUGCUUUGGAGCCUGCAUGGUUGGAUUUGGGAGCCGGAGAGCAUCCUGACUUGCAGCACAUUGGCAACCAGAAGACACCCAAAGGUAGGGAGGUGACAGACACUGCUUGGCCUCAGGAGCUUCUCUGGCCAUUGCUCAACCAAGGUUGCACCUGGAGGCAUCCACAGCAUGGGGCUCCUCCCUCCUUCCCCUAGUUAGCUUUCUUAGGCUCAGGCCACACAAAAAAGGACUGGGUCUGCCUUGCUUUCCCAGCUUAUCUUGGUUCCCUGCUGGGUCCAUCCAGUUUCCUUCCUCCUUCCUACCCCAAUGCUGAGUUCUGGGACCUCUUCUGCUCCCCCACGCUAGCCAGAAACUAAGUUUCCAAACUGCAAAAUGCUACAGAUUUCGUUGCUAUAGAGGAAAUGUCUAACAUUUCUUCUAUUUAAACUUAAAUAGCCCUAUUGGGACUCACAAUUUCAUAUCUUGAUUUCUGGACUAGAGCUCUGUAUUCUAAAGCAAGAACAGAGGGUCAAAAGUACUCUUCUUGAUUCUAAUCAUUAAAAAAUUGUUGGUAGAGGCAGGGUCUCACUGUGUUCCCUAGGCUGGUCUCUAACUCCUGGUGUCAAGUGAUCCACCCGCCUUGGAUUUUCACAUUGCUGAGCAGAUAGGCAAAACCAGCACACCUGGACUUUGGAGGUGCUCUUGCUUUGCGUGUUUCCUACAGCAUCAUUUGCUCCUACAGCAUCAUUCCAAAUCUUUCUUCACAAAUUCAGUGGAUCCUGUUAUGUGUUACAAGUAAUGUUACCUUGGCUUAUUGCAAAUAAACAAGACAAUUCACAGUUAGUAACCUAGGCCAUAGAAAUUUUUAUAUCUUUUUUGAGAUAAAAUUUUGCUCUUAUUCUCCAGGCUAGAGUGUAAUGAGACAAUCUUAGGUUGUUGCAACCUCUGCCUCCUGGGUUCAAGCAAUUUUCCUACCUUAGCCUUCUGAGUAGCUGGAAUUAGAGGCAUUUGCCAGACUCUUGGCUAAUUUUGUCCUUUUUAGUAGAGAUGGAGUUUCACCAUGUUGGUCAGGCUUGUCUCAAACUCCUGGCCUCAGGACAUCUGCCCGCCCUGGCUUCCCAAAGUUCAGGUGAGAGCCACCACCCCUGGCAAAAAGUUUCACUUCUCCAUCAUUAAGCCUGUUUCUAAGGAGAUGCUUGUAGUCUAAAUAUGCAGAUUCCUAGUCAUUUCCAAGAGAAAAGGAACCACUGCAAGGCAACCUGGGAGGGAGUUUAGGAUGGUUCUGAGGCCAUGAAAGCCAUUCAAAUUCACACAUAAGAGGGUAGAGAAAGGGAAUCCACAUGUUCUGACUGCCUCCAUGUCCUGAGUAUAACUUGGUCAUUGUGAAGUUGCAGUACCUAUGGCGUCAGGGAGAACUGGAUUUGAAUCCCAGUUCAUCACUCAUUAGCACGUGAUGCUGACUGUGUUUUUAACUCCUCUGACUUUCAUUGUAGUCAUCUAUAAAAGAUGGGAUUAUUUUGAGGCUUCCAUAAUAUAAGUGUGUAAAAAUUGGUGUGAGCAAAAUGACUGUAAUUUAAAGGAUAGGGUUGUUUUAAGGCUUCAAUAAGGUAAGUGUGUAAAAAUCAGGGCACAAUGCCUAUGAUUUUGGAAGUCUUCAUUAUAUACAGAAGGAGGAUUAUUUUUCUCUCAUUUAAUUUUUGGAGCAAGUUUAUAAAGCUGGUGUUACUCAUAUUUUUGACAUGAUCAAACCAAGGAUCUGAAAGAUUCUAUGAGUCACUACAGUCACAAAGCAGUUCACAGUACAUCUACUGGGUAACUGCCUGUUGAAACUAGCAAUGGUGAUCACAUUUAAAAUCUUAUAUUAACAGAAUGCUUUUCCCUUACAUAAGCCUCUUCGUUUUUGAAGCCAUAGAUUCUAAGUUGAUGUAUCAAAGUGAUCAUUGGGAAACUGUGAUAUAUUAGUGUACAAAUUUUAGAAAAUGUCCUCUAUUACUCUUAAUUUGAUUAUGUGUUAUUUUCAAAAUUGUGAAUGGAAUAUGUAUGGAUUGAAUGUAUAUGUAUAUAUACAUAAAAUAUAAUUAGACAUCAAGGAGUAGACUUAGCUCCUGGCAAUUUUUUUUCUGAAAGCACCUGCAGAAAUCUGUCAUUUUUGUAGUUUGUAAAAAACUCAGAGGUUAUGGGGUAAAGGAGGUUCUAUGAAUUCCAGCUAGUGCAAGAGCCAGAUUUGGCUUCAGGAAUUUUAGCAUAAUUCAUUGUAAGGUGAUAAACCCUAGGAACUUCAAGACAGUGAGAAACCUGAAAGCUCUUAGCCAGGAAUGAAUGAAAGGUGGGAUGCGGUGGCUGGCAGGGUGGGGCCUUGUGAGCCACAUGCCUGGUAUCUCAAGUUCCAAGUUGGCAGGGACACAUGGAGGGGACACUGGGCCUGAUUGUGUCCUCUUAACCAGUAUAUGGCCUGGUUGGCAAAGCAACCCGCCUUCACCUGGUGGCCUUCAGAGGGUGCCUUCAUUGGCUACCUUUGUUUAGUGCCCUCAGUUGGUGCUCUUCAGUUGUUGGUCUUCAGUUGGUUUGGCAGUGGUGGAAGGAGAAGGAGCUCCAUCUGUGCUCUCUCCUCCUAAAGUCACAGUUCUCAGGCUUGUUGCACCUAGGCCCACUCUGAAUAAACCAAGCAGGUUUGCAACUUUUACAGACAAGUCAACUCAAGGUAGGUGGGUUAGGUAAGCUGCGAGCUCUAGUGAGAUGCAGCCCUAUGGCCAGGGUUGCCCAUGCCAGUAUGACUUCGCUGGGGAGAGGCAGCAUGUUCUGAGCUCUGCAGACAUAGAAGCAAGUGAAGGCCCAAGCAGCCUGGGAAGAGCAGAGUUGCCCCAAGGGGACCAUGCUUAAGUAUCUCAUGUGCACCAAAGGCAGCACCAGGCAGGGCUGAAGUAGGGGUUCUAAGAAGCCAUUUAUGGGUGAAUGGCCAGAAAAGGCAGAGACACCAGAAGAGAGGAGCAGAGGAGCCCAAAACAUGCUGCCCCACAAUGCCAGACCCAGGCAGGGCCAGCUCACAGUGUGGUGAACAGAACCAUCCUGAUGUUCCAAGAUCUAUGAGGUGGAGGUGGCCAGAGCUCCUGACCUGACUGCUUUGCGGCCUGCUGAGUUGGGUUUGGGAGCUGGCCAGGGUCCUGACUUGCAGCACAUUGGCGACAAGAAGACGACAAAAGGUAGGGAGGCAACGAAUACUGCUUGGCUCAUCUAUAUGUUAUGUUAUGAUCAUCUAAAAAAGAUUGGAUACAGCAGGAGCUCCUCAGGCCACUGCUGACUCAAGGUUCCCCCCAAAGACAUCCACAACCUGGGGCUCUCUCUCCUGCCCCUAAUUAGCUUUCCCAGCCCCAGGCCUCAAGCAGGAGGACUGGCUCUGCCUCGAAUCCCCACCCAUUCUUCUUUCUUCCUAUCCCAAUGCCCAGUUCAGUUUCCUCUUCAUCUUGCCCCAGGCUGCCUGAAAACUGGGUUUUCAAAAAACAAAAUGUAAGCUAUAGAUUUCAUUGCUGUAGAGAAAGUCUCUGACAGCUUUUCUAGUUAAACUUAAGUGUCACGGUGAGACUCAAAAUUUCGUAUAUUGAAUUCUACACCAGACCUCUUUAUGAUAAAGCAAUGUUAGAGGCACUCUUCUUGAUUCCAAUCAUAUGAUUUUUUGUAGAGACAGGGUCUCACUUUGUUGCCCAGACUAGUCUCCAACUCCUGGCCUCAAGUGAUCCAUCCACCUUGGCCUCUCACAUUGCUAGGGUGACAGGCAGGAGCCACCACACCUGGCCUUUGGAGGUGCUCUUGCUUUCUGUGUUUCGGCUGGUCUUCCUGCACAGCUGUCAGGAAGAUGCUCCUGCAGCAUAGUUCUAAAUCUUUCUGCACAAAUUCUAUGGAUCCUGUGAUUUUUUUACGUGGAAUAGCAAUGUAUAUUUUAGAAAAGCUAGACAAUUCACAGUAACCUGGGGCCUAGAAAAUUUUAUUUCAUGAUCAACACAUCUCUUGGUCUAGAAAUUGUCUUUCUUAAUCAAAGCACCUGUUUAUAAGGAGCUAAAUAUGUGGUCUAAAUAUGCAGCUUAGUAAUCAUCCCCAAGAAAAAGGGAACCACUGCAAGGCAACCUGGGAGGGAGUUUAGGAUUGUUCUGAGGCCAUAAAAACCAAUGAAAUUCACACAUGAAAGGGUGGAGAAAGGGAACCCACGUGUUGUGACUCCCUCAAUAUGCUGGGUACAACUCAGUCUCUGUUACGUUGCAUCACCUUUGCUGUCAGACAGAAUGGAAUUUGCAUCUGGUUUCCGUCACUCAUUAUGAUGUGGUGGGGAAUGUGUUUUUAUCUUGGUUGAGCCUCAGUCUGCUCAUUAAUAAAAGAUGGGAGUGUUAUGUGACUUCCAUAAGGUAUGUGUGUAAAAAUCUGGCCAUAAUGACUGUAAUUUAAAACAUGAAGCUGUUACAUGGCCUUCAUAAGGUAAAUGUUUAAAAAUCGAGGCAUAAUGCCUAUAAUUUUAAAGCUGAGGUUGCUAUGUGACCUCCAUAAGGUAAGUGUGUAAAAAUCUGGGCAUAUUGUCUGUAAUUUAAAACAUGGGGUUGUUAUGUGACCUCCAUAAGGUAAGUGUGUAAAAAUCUGACCAUAAUGACUGUAAUUUAAAAUACGAAGUUGUGGCUUCCAUAAGGUAAGUGUGUAAAAAUCUGGGCAUAUUGUCUGUAACUUAAAACAUGGGGUUGAUAUGUGACCUCCCUAAGGUAAGUGUGUAAAAAUCUGAACAUAUUGUCUGUAAUUUAAAACAUGGGGUUGUUAUGUGGCUUCCUUAAGGUAAGUGUGUAAAAAUCUGACCAUAAUGACUGUAAUUUAAAAUACGAAGCUGUGGCUUCCAUAAGGUAAGUGUGUAAAAAUCUGGGCAUCUUGUCUGUGAUUUAAAACAUGGGGUUGUUAUGUGGCUUCCUUAAGGUAAGUGUGUAAAAAUCUGACCAUAAUGACUGUAAUUUAAAAUACGAAGCUGUGGCCUCCAUAAGGUAAGUGUGUAAAAAUCUGGGCAUAUUGUCUGUGAUUUAAAACAUGGGGUUGUUAUUGGCUUCCUUAAGGUAAGUGUGUAAAAAUCUGACCAUAAUGACUGUAAUUUAAAAUACGAAGCUGUUACGUGCUUCCAUAAGGUAAGUGUGUAAAAAUCUGGGCAUCUUGUCUGUAAUUUAAAACAUGGGGUUGUUAUGUGGCUUCCUUAAGGUAAGUGUGUAAAAAUCUGACCAUAAUGACUGUAAUUUAAAAUACAAAGCUGUGGCCUCCAUAAGGUAAGUGUGUAAAAAUCUGGGCAUAUUGUCUGUGAUUUAAAACAUGGGGUUGUUAUUGGCUUCCUUAAGGUAAGUGUGUAAAAAUCUGACCAUAAUGACUGUAAUUUAAAAUACGAAGCUGUUACGUGCUUCCAUAAGGUAAGUGUGUAAAAAUCUGGGCAUCUUGUCUGUGAUUUAAAACAUGGGGUUGUUAUGUGGCUUCCUUAAGGUAAGUGUGUAAAAAUCUGACCAUAAUGACUGUAAUUUAAAAUACGAAGCUGUGGCCUCCAUAAGGUAAGUGUGUAAAAAUCUGGGCAUAUUGUCUGUGAUUUAAAACAUGGGGUUGUUAUUGGCUUCCUUAAGGUAAGUGUGUAAAAAUCUGACCAUAAUGACUGUAAUUUAAAAUACGAAGCUGUUACGUGCUUCCAUAAGGUAAGUGUGUAAAAAUCUGGGCAUCUUGUCUGUGAUUUAAAACAUGGGGUUGUUAUGUGGCUUCCUUAAGGUAAGUGUGUAAAAAUCUGACCAUAAUGACUGUAAUUUAAAAUACGAAGCUGUGGCCUCCAUAAGGUAAGUGUGUAAAAAUCUGGGCAUAUUGUCUGUGAUUUAAAACAUGGGGUUGUUAUUGGCUUCCUUAAGGUAAGUGUGUAAAAAUCUGACCAUAAUGAUUCUAAUUUAAAAUAUGAAGCUGUUAUGUGGCUUCCAUAAGGUAAGUGUGUAAAAAUCUGGGCAUAUUGUCUGUAAUUUAAAACAUGGGGUUGUUAUUGGCUUCCUUAAGGUAAGUGUGUAAAAAUCUGACCAUAAUGAUUCUAAUUUAAAAUAUGAAGCUGUUAUGUGGCUUCCAUAAGGUAAGUGUGUAAAAAUCUGGGCAUAUUGUCUGUGAUUUAAAACAUGGGGUUGUUAUUGGCUUCCUUAAGGUAAGUGUGUAAAAAUCUGACCAUAAUGACUGUAAUUUAAAAUAUGAAGCUGUUACGUGCUUCCAUAAGGUAAGUGUGUAAAAAUCUGGGCAUCUUGUCUGUGAUUUAAAACAUGGGGUUGUUAUGUGGCUUCCUUAAGGUAAGUGUGUAAAAAUCUGACCAUAAUGACUGUAAUUUAAAAUACGAAGCUGUGACUGCCAUAAGGUAAGUGUGUAAAAAUCUGGACAUACUGUCUGUAAUUUAAAACAUGGGGUUUUUAUGUGGCUUCUUUAAUGUAAGUGUGUAAAAAUAUGGCCAUAAUAACUGUAAUUUAAAAUACAAAGAUUUUACAUGGCUUCCAUAAGGUAAGUGUGUAAAAAUCUGGCCAUAAUAAGUGUAAUACGAAGAUUUUACAUGGCUUCCAUAAGGUAAGUGUGUAAAAAUCUGGGCAUAAUGCAUUUAAUUUAAAAGAUGAGGUUGUUAUGUAGCUUCCAUAAGGUAAAUGUGUAAAAAUCUAAACACGAUGCCUGUAAGUUUGUAAGUGUUCAAUAUAUAGAGAAGGAGGAUUCUUUUUCUCUAAUUUUUAGAGCAAGUUUAUAAAAUUGGUAUUAUAUUUUGUAGAUAAUCAAACCAAGAGUCAGAGAGAAUAAGUAAGUCAGCAUAGUCACAAAGCAGUUCACAAUACAUGCUGGGUAAUUUUUAUUUAUUAGUAGCAAUGAGGAUCACAUUUAAAAUACUGUAUUACUGGGUGGUUUUCUCUUCCAUAAGCCUCUUUCUUUGUUGAAACCAUAAAGUUGCUCUAUGAAAGUGAACAUUAGAAAACUGUGAUGAACUUACUGUAUAAAUUUUAGGAAAUUUUCUCUAUUAGUCUUGUUAAUUAGGUUGAAUAUGUGUGUUAUUUUCAAAAAAGGUAAAUUGAAUAUAUAUGUAUUGAAUAUAUACAACAUUUUACAUUGUAGGGUAGCCUUAAGUCAUGGCAAUGUGUUUUUCUGAAAGCACAUGCAGAACUCUGUCAUUUUUCUAGUUUCUAUAAAGCUCGAGGUAAUGGGGGAAAGGAGGUUCUACGAAUCCCAGCUAGUGCAUGAGGCGGAUUUGGUUUCGGUAAUUUUAACAUCAUUCAUUGUAAGGUGAUGAUCUUUAGGUAUGUCAGCACAGUGAGAAAUCUGAAAGCUCCCAGCAGCCAGAAAUGAGUGAAAGGUGGGGCGGGGCCUAGUGAGCCUUGUACCUACUCCCUCAAGUUCCAAGUCUGGGGGGAAGUGUGGAGGUGCCCUGGGCCUGAUUGUUUCCUCUUAAGCAGGAUGUGGUCUGGUUGGCAGGUCAACCGGCCUUCACCUGGUGGCCUUCACCUGGUGGCCUUCAGUGGUUGCCUUUGUUUUGUGCCCUCAGUUGGGGGUCUUCAGUGGGGGACCUUUAGUUCAUGGGUGGUGGCGGAGGUUGAGGAGCUCCUCUGUGCUCUCUCCUCCCGCAGUCAUAGCUGUCAGGUUUGGUGCAUUCAGGCCCAUUCUAAAUCAACCAGGCAGGUUCUGACUGCUGCAGGAAGUCAGUUCAGGGUGGGCAGGUGAGGCAUGGUGCAGGCUGUAAGUAGGGUACAGCCCCAUGGUCCAGGGCUGUCCAUGCCAGCCAUGCCUUGCCAGGAGCAGUCAGUAGGUGUGGAGCUCUGCAGACAUAUGGGCAGGCAGCGGCCCAAACACCCAAGAAAAUCAGAGUUGCCCCAUGGGGACGACACUGAGCUGUUGCAUGUGCACCAAAGUCAACCCCAGGCAGAGCCCCCACAGGGGUUCUGUGGAGCCAUCCUGGAGCUCAGACAUCUGAGUGGAAAGCCAGCAAAGGCACAGACCCCAGCAGAAAGGAGCAGAAGUGCCUGGAACAUGCUGUACCCCAAUGCCAGCCCCAAGCGGGACCAGCUCAGGGUGACGUGAAGGGAGAAGACCUGCAGCUCUGAGAUCUACGAGGUGGAAGUGACAGUAGCACCAGACCCCACUGCUUUGGAGCCUGCCCAGUCGGAUUUGGGAGCCAGUGAGGGUCGUGACUUGCAGCACAUUGUCGACCAGAAGACAACCAAAGGGAGAGGAGCUGAAGACCUUCUGGCCUGGGCUGGGCGGCAGUUCAGUUGCAGGAUAAACAGCCUGAGUCCUCUGCGGGAUGCUUUGUAAAGAACCCAAGAAAUCAACGUAGAGCUUCUUCUAGAUGAUUCUCUCGAAGCUGUAAACCUUCCAUGAGUCAAGCUUUGUGUCAAAAGGACAAAUUAAAAG